Molecule: ribosomal RNA, 610 nt
Filed under: uncultured bacterium
Lineage: Bacteria
Description: bacterial SSU rRNA
Rfam family: Bacterial small subunit ribosomal RNA
Source: RNAcentral
CCUACGGGAGGCAGCAGUGAGGAAUAUUGGACAAUGGGCGCAAGCCUGAUCCAGCCAUGCCGCGUGCAGGAUGACGGUCCUAUGGAUUGUAAACUGCUUUUGUACAGGAAGAAACAGUUCUACGUGUAGAACCUUGACGGUACUGUAAGAAUAAGGAUCGGCUAACUCCGUGCCAGCAGCCGCGGUAAUACGGAGGAUCCAAGCGUUAUCCGGAAUCAUUGGGUUUAAAGGGUCCGUAGGCGGUUUAGUAAGUCAGUGGUGAAAGCCCAUCGCUCAACGGUGGAACGGCCAUUGAUACUGCUAAACUUGAAUUAUUAGGAAGUAACUAGAAUAUGUAGUGUAGCGGUGAAAUGCUUAGAGAUUACAUGGAAUACCAAUUGCGAAGGCAAGGUUACUACUAAUUGAUUGGCGCUGAUGGACGAAAGCGUGGGUAGCGAACAGGAUUAGAUACCCUGGUAGUCCACGCCGUAAACGAUGGAUACUAGCUGUUGGAAGCAAUUUCAGUGGCUAAGCGAAAGUGAUAAGUAUCCACCUGGGGAGUACGUUCGCAAGAAUGAAACUCAAAUGAAUUGACCGGCGUGAGAGAGACGAGACGACACGAGGGAGGAGG